AUUGAACGCUGGCGGCAGGCCUAACACAUGCAAGUCGAACGAGUGGCGGACGGGUGAGGAAUGUCUGGGAAACUGCCUGAUGGAGGGGGAUAACUACUGGAAACGGUAGCUAAUACCGCAUACCAUCGGAUGUGCCCAGCUGGGAUUAGCUAGUAGGUGGGGUAACGGCGCACCUAGGCGACGAUGCCUAGCUGGUCUGAGAGGAGGACCAGCCACACGGGAACUGAGACACGGUCCAGACUCCUACGGGAGGCAGCAGUGGGGAAUAUUGCACAAUGGGCGCAAGCCUGAUGCAGCCAUGCCGCGUGUAUGAAGAAGGCCUUCGGGUUGUAAAGUACUGUCAGCGGGGAGGCGUUACCCGCAGGGGAAGCACCGGCUAACUCCGUGCCAGCGGCCGCGGUAAUUC
Molecule: ribosomal RNA, 406 nt
Filed under: uncultured bacterium
Lineage: Bacteria
Description: partial 16S ribosomal RNA
Rfam family: Bacterial small subunit ribosomal RNA
Source: RNAcentral